RNAcentral lists this ribosomal RNA (98 nucleotides) under Cephalotus follicularis. Lineage: Eukaryota; Viridiplantae; Streptophyta; Magnoliopsida; Oxalidales; Cephalotaceae. The record is from RNAcentral.
GGGUGUGAUCAUACCAGCACUAAUGCACCGGAUCCCAUCAGAACUUUGAAGAUAUGCAUGCUUGGGCGAGAACGGUACUUAUUGAUAUGUCACAUAUG